RNAcentral lists this ribosomal RNA (497 nucleotides) under uncultured bacterium. RNAcentral's name for it is "partial 16S ribosomal RNA". It matches the Rfam family "Bacterial small subunit ribosomal RNA", at positions 28 to 507 of the family's 1533-position model. The record is from RNAcentral.
GAUGAACGCUGGCGGCGUGCCUAAUACAUGCAAGUCGAGCGAACAGACGAGGAGCUUGCUUCUCUGACGUUAGCGGCGGACGGGUGAGUAACACGUGGAUAACCUACCUAUAAGACUGGGAUAACUUCGGGAAACCGGAGCUAAUACCGGAUAAUAUAUUGAACCGCAUGGUUCAAAAGUGAAAGACGGUCUUGCUGUCACUUAUAGAUGGAUCCGCGCCGCAUUAGCUAGUUGGUAAGGUAACGGCUUACCAAGGCAACGAUGCGUAGCCGACCUGAGAGGGUGAUCGGCCACACUGGAACUGAGACACGGUCCAGACUCCUACGGGAGGCAGCAGUAGGGAAUCUUCCGCAAUGGGCGAAAGCCUGACGGAGCAACGCCGCGUGAGUGAUGAAGGUCUUCGGAUCGUAAAACUCUGUUAUUAGGGAAGAACAUAUGUGUAAGUAACUGUGCACAUCUUGACGGUACCUAAUCAGAAAGCCACGGCUAACUACGUG